AAGUUCUUAGGUUGUGUGUGGCAG
This 24-nucleotide non-coding RNA is filed under the name Cricetulus griseus (Chinese hamster). The record is from RNAcentral. Lineage: Eukaryota; Metazoa; Chordata; Mammalia; Rodentia; Cricetidae.